RNAcentral lists this long non-coding RNA (551 nucleotides) under Oryza brachyantha (malo sina). RNAcentral describes it as "long non-coding RNA (OBRA_LNC001785)". Lineage: Eukaryota; Viridiplantae; Streptophyta; Magnoliopsida; Poales; Poaceae. The record is from RNAcentral.
UCAAGCGCCCGGCACUGGUAGUCCACCUACCGUCUCGCCGUACGCCAGGAAAUACAGGGCUACCAUCGAGUCAUACUGCAGGGCUUUGGGACGAGAUCCUCAGCUUCCCACACCUCGCUUUUGCAUGCCCUCAUCUGGUGUCUGAUAAUCCUUACACCAGGGGAGAAAAUAGCUGGUGACGACGACGAAUAUGCAGCAGAGCAAGCUAUGGAUGGAGGAGGGAGGUCCGGGCUCUGCCUUCACAUGCACCCAAGAAGAAGAAGAAAAGUGCGCGCGCCGUGCAAAUUGUAUUUAUGUUAAGUGAUAAAUUUUAUAGUUUUUAUUAAAGACCUAAGUUCGCAUGGUAUUGCUUACAACUUCGUCCCCGCUUCAUGUAAAAAUGUUAAUCCGAGAAUACCAUGGCUGGAGCACCAAGGCUUAUAAUUAAGCACGCUCUCACCCCCUAAACUUUUAAAGUAGUGAAAGGUUUUAAGCGGGCUAGGGUGUUACAGUUUAUGUUUUGUUGAACGAUUUCUGUAAGUUGAUUUUGUUCUAUCAAUCUAUUUAUCUAC